RNAcentral lists this ribosomal RNA (484 nucleotides) under uncultured bacterium. RNAcentral's name for it is "partial 16S ribosomal RNA". It matches the Rfam family "Bacterial small subunit ribosomal RNA", at positions 30 to 507 of the family's 1533-position model. The record is from RNAcentral.
AUUGAACGCUGGCGGCAGGCCUAACACAUGCAAGUCGAGCGGAUGAAGGGAGCUUGCUCCUGGAUUCAGCGGCGGACGGGUGAGUAAUGCCUAGGAAUCUGCCUGGUAGUGGGGGAUAACGUCCGGAAACGGGCGCUAAUACCGCAUACGUCCUGAGGGAGAAAGUGGGGGAUCUUCGGACCUCACGCUAUCAGAUGAGCCUAGGUCGGAUUAGCUAGUUGGUGGGGUAAAGGCCUACCAAGGCGACGAUCCGUAACUGGUCUGAGAGGAUGAUCAGUCACACUGGAGCUGAGACACGGUCCAGACUCCUACGGGAGGCAGCAGUGGGGAAUAUUGGACAAUGGGCGAAAGCCUGAUCCAGCCAUGCCGCGUGUGUGAAGAAGGUCUUCGGAUUGUAAAGCACUUUAAGUUGGGAGGAAGGGCAGUAAGUUAAUACCUUGCUGCUUUGACGUUACCAACAGAAUAAGCACCGGCUAACUUCGUG